CUUGAGGGAUCCCAGCCACAACGGCCGCUCCCGCGACCUGUCCUGACCGUACGUCGCCAGGAGUGCCUGUGCCUC
RNAcentral lists this antisense RNA (75 nucleotides) under Streptomyces katrae. RNAcentral's name for it is "ASpks sRNA". It matches the Rfam family "ASpks TB sRNA". Lineage: Bacteria; Bacillati; Actinomycetota; Actinomycetes; Kitasatosporales; Streptomycetaceae. The record is from RNAcentral.